GACGAACGCUGGCGGCGUGCUUAACACAUGCAAGUCGAACGAAGAGCGAUGGAAGCUUGCUUCUAUCAAUCUUAGUGGCGAACGGGUGAGUAACGCGUAAUCAACCUGCCCUUCAGAGGGGGACAACAGUUGGAAACGACUGCUAAUACCGCAUACGAUCUAAUCUCGGCAUCGAGGAUAGAUGAAAGGUGGCCUCUACAUGUAAGCUAUCACUGAAGGAGGGGAUUGCGUCUGAUUAGCUAGUUGGAGGGGUAACGGCCCACCAAGGCGAUGAUCAGUAGCCGGUCUGGGAGGAUGGACGGCCACAUUGGGACUGAGACACGGCCCAGACUCCUACGGGAGGCAGCAGUGGGGAAUCUUCCGCAAUGGACGAAAGUCUGACGGAGCAACGCCGCGUGAGUGAUGACGGCCUUCGGGUUGUAAAGCUCUGUUAAUCGGGACGAAAGGCCUUCUUGCGAACAGUUAGAAGGAUUGACGGUACCGGAAUAGAAAGCCACGGCUAACUACGUG
This 510-nucleotide ribosomal RNA is filed under the name uncultured bacterium. Its description in RNAcentral is "partial 16S ribosomal RNA". It matches the Rfam family "Bacterial small subunit ribosomal RNA", at positions 28 to 507 of the family's 1533-position model. The record is from RNAcentral.